ACUCCUACGGGAGGCAGCAGUGGGGAAUAUUGCACAAUGGGGGAAACCCUGAUGCAGCCAUGCCGCGUGUGUGAAGAAGGCCUUCGGGUUGUAAAGACACUUUCUAGUAGGGAGGAAGGUAGUGUAGUUAACACCUGCAUUAUUUGUACGUUACCUACAGAAGAAGCACCGGCUAACUCCGUGCCAGCAGCCGCGGUAAGUACGGAGGGUGCGAGCGUUAAUCGGAAUUACGUGGGCGUAAAGCGCAUGCAGGCGGCCUGUUAAGUCAGAUGUGAAACGCCCGGGGUCUUAACCUCGGAAUUGCUAUUUGAAACUGGCAGGCUAGAGUCUUGUAGAGGGGUUAGAAUUUCGAGGUGUAGCGGUGAAAUGCGUAGAGAUCUGAAGG
RNAcentral lists this ribosomal RNA (385 nucleotides) under uncultured bacterium. RNAcentral's name for it is "bacterial SSU rRNA". It matches the Rfam family "Bacterial small subunit ribosomal RNA", at positions 335 to 704 of the family's 1533-position model. The record is from RNAcentral.